This 253-nucleotide ribosomal RNA is filed under the name uncultured bacterium. RNAcentral describes it as "partial 16S ribosomal RNA". It matches the Rfam family "Bacterial small subunit ribosomal RNA", at positions 524 to 776 of the family's 1533-position model. The record is from RNAcentral.
UACGUAGGGCGCAAGCGUUAUCCGGAAUUAUUGGGCGUAAAGAGCGUGUAGGCGGCCGUACAGGUCAGCUGUGAAAACUCGAGGCUCAACCUCGAGACGUCGGUUGAAACCGUAUGGCUAGAGUCCGGAAGAGGAGAGUGGAAUUCCCGGUGUAGCGGUGAAAUGCGCAGAUAUCGGGAAGAACACCCGUGGCGAAGGCGGCUCUCUGGGACGGUACUGACGCUGAGACGCGAAAGCGUGGGGAGCGAACAGG